This is a non-coding RNA of Pseudonaja textilis, 87 nucleotides long. The record is from RefSeq and is a predicted model, not a curated record. Lineage: Eukaryota; Metazoa; Chordata; Lepidosauria; Squamata; Elapidae.
AUGUUACCUAGUUGGGUCAUGAAACAUCUGCAAGGAAACAGCCCAGCUCAGGGGGCAGCAAGGACCCCACAGUCCUCCUCCUCCUCU